UACGAAGGGGGCUAGCGUUGCUCGGAAUUACUGGGCGUAAAGCGCACGUAGGCGGCUUUCUAAGUCGGGGGUGAAAUCCUGGAGCUCAACUCCAGAACUGCCUUCGAUACUGGAAAGCUCGAGUCCGGGAGAGGUGAGUGGAACUGCGAGUGUAGAGGUGAAAUUCGUAGAUAUUCGCAAGAACACCAGUGGCGAAGGCGGCUCACUGGCCCGGUACUGACGCUGAGGUGCGAAAGCUAGGGGAGCAAACGGG
Molecule: ribosomal RNA, 253 nt
Filed under: uncultured bacterium
Lineage: Bacteria
Description: partial 16S ribosomal RNA
Rfam family: Bacterial small subunit ribosomal RNA
Source: RNAcentral